UACGUAGGGUGCGAGCGUUAAUCGGAAUUACUGGGCGUAAAGCGUGCGCAGGCGGUUUUGUAAGACAGGCGUGAAAGCCCCGGGCUCAACCUGGGAAUUGCAUUCGAGACUGCAUUGCUGGAGUACGGAAGAGGAAGGCGGAAUUCCCGGUGUAGCGGUGAAAUGCGUAGAUAUCGGGAGGAACAUCAGUGGCGAAGGCGGCCUUCUGGUCCAGUACUGACACUCAAGUGCGAAAGCGUGGGGAGCAAACAGG
RNAcentral lists this ribosomal RNA (253 nucleotides) under uncultured bacterium. RNAcentral describes it as "partial 16S ribosomal RNA". It matches the Rfam family "Bacterial small subunit ribosomal RNA", at positions 524 to 776 of the family's 1533-position model. The record is from RNAcentral.